GGUUCCUACGGGACGCAGCAGUGGGGAAUAUUGGGCAAUGGGCGCAAGCCUGACCCAGCAACGCCGCGUGAAGGAAGAAGGCUUUCGGGUUGUAAACUUCUUUUAUCAGGGACGAAGCAAGUGACGGUACCUGAUGAAUAAGCCACGGCUAACUACGUGCCAGCAGCCGCGGUAAUACGUAGGUGGCAAGCGUUAUCCGGAUUUACUGGGUGUAAAGGGCGUGUAGGCGGGAGUGCAAGUCAGAUGUGAAAACUAUGGGCUCAAACCAUAGCCUGCAUUUGAAACU
RNAcentral lists this ribosomal RNA (286 nucleotides) under uncultured bacterium. Its description in RNAcentral is "partial 16S ribosomal RNA". It matches the Rfam family "Bacterial small subunit ribosomal RNA", at positions 334 to 634 of the family's 1533-position model. The record is from RNAcentral.